RNAcentral lists this non-coding RNA (27 nucleotides) under Mus musculus (house mouse). The record is from RNAcentral. Lineage: Eukaryota; Metazoa; Chordata; Mammalia; Rodentia; Muridae.
UCCGUGGUGAAUUUUGAAUUUGUUUUU